AGUGAACGCUGGCGGUAGGCCUAACACAUGCAAGUCGAACGGCAGCACAGUAAGAGCUUGCUCUUACGGGUGGCGAGUGGCGGACGGGUGAGGAAUACAUCGGAAUCUACUUUUUCGUGGGGGAUAACGUAGGGAAACUUACGCUAAUACCGCAUACGACCUACGGUUGAAAGCAGGGGAUCUUCGGACCUUGCGCGAUUGAAUGAGCCGAUGUCGGAUUAGCUAGUUGGCGGGGUAAAGGCCCACCAAGGCGACGAUCCGUAGCUGGUCUGAGAGGAUGAUCAGCCACACUGGAACUGAGACACGGUCCAGACUCCUACGGGAGGCAGCAGUGGGGAAUAUUGGACAAUGGGCGCAAGCCUGAUCCAGCUAUACCGCGUGGGUGAAGAAGGCCUUCGGGUUGUAAAGCCCUUUUGUUGGGAAAGAAAAGCAGCAGGUUAAUACCCCGCUGUUCUGACGGUACCCAAAGAAUAAGCACCGGCUAACUUCGUG
RNAcentral lists this ribosomal RNA (492 nucleotides) under uncultured bacterium. RNAcentral describes it as "partial 16S ribosomal RNA". It matches the Rfam family "Bacterial small subunit ribosomal RNA", at positions 29 to 507 of the family's 1533-position model. The record is from RNAcentral.